This 293-nucleotide ribosomal RNA is filed under the name uncultured bacterium. Its description in RNAcentral is "partial 16S ribosomal RNA". It matches the Rfam family "Bacterial small subunit ribosomal RNA", at positions 335 to 620 of the family's 1533-position model. The record is from RNAcentral.
GGUCCUACGGGGCGCAGCAGUAGGGAAUCUUCCACAAUGGGCGAAAGCCUGAUGGAGCAACGCCGCGUGAGUGAAGAAGGUCUUCGGAUCGUAAAACCCUGUUGUUAGAGAAGAAAGUGCGUGAGAGUAACUGUUCACGCUUCGACGGUAUCUAACCAGAAAGCCACGGCUAACUACGUGCCAGCAGCCGCGGUAAUACGUAGGCGGCAAGCGUUAUCCGGAUUUAUUGGGCGUAAAGGGAACGCAGGCGGACUUUUAAGUCUGAUGUGAAAGCCUUCGGCUUAACCGGCGUA